Molecule: long non-coding RNA, 170 nt
Organism: Molossus molossus (Pallas's mastiff bat)
Lineage: Eukaryota; Metazoa; Chordata; Mammalia; Chiroptera; Molossidae
Exons: 3
Source: RefSeq, a predicted model, not a curated record
UCGAGCUUUGUAGCACGCCUUGCCUGGUAGGCAGAGGAAUGGUUAUCUGCAUUGUUUUGAGAAGGUCCUGGCCGUAGACCAGUGUGCGUACUCGAAGACAUGCAAGGAUUUUGCCAUAAGGCUGAGUUUGGUUGUGAAAAAGAAAUUGCAAGGCUGUCAGAAUAGUUCCC